RNAcentral lists this ribosomal RNA (494 nucleotides) under uncultured bacterium. Its description in RNAcentral is "partial 16S ribosomal RNA". It matches the Rfam family "Bacterial small subunit ribosomal RNA", at positions 28 to 507 of the family's 1533-position model. The record is from RNAcentral.
GACGAACGCUGGCGGCGUGCUUAACACAUGCAAGUCGAACGGUGAAGCGCCUUCCUUUUUGGUGGGUGUGGAUGAGUGGCGAACGGGUGAGUAACACGUGAGUAACCUGCCCCCUUCUUCUGGAUAACCGCAUGAAAGUGUGGCUAAUACGGGAUAUUCUGGGUCUGUCGCAUGAUGGGUCUGGGAAAGAUAUUGUUUCGGUGGGGGAUGGGCUCGCGGCCUAUCAGCUUGUUGGUGGGGUGAUGGCCUACCAAGGCGGUGACGGGGAGCCGGCCUGAGAGGGUGGACGGUCACACUGGGACUGAGACACGGCCCAGACUCCGACGGGAGGCAGCAGGGGGGAAUAUUGCACAAUGGGCGCAAGCCUGAUGCAGCGACGCCGCGUGAGGGAUGGAGGCCUUCGGGUUGUGAACCUCUUUCGCCAGUGAAGCAGGCCUGCCUCGUUUGUGGGUGGGUUGACGGUAGCUGGAUAAGAAGCGCCGGCUAACUACGUG